CCUACGGGGCGCAGCAGUGGGGAAUAUUGGACAAUGGGCGAAAGCCUGAUCCAGCCAUGCCGCGUGUGUGAAGAAGGCCUUCGGGUUGUAAAGCACUUUCAGUGGGGAAGAAAGCCUUGGGGCUAAUACCCUCGAGGAAGGACAUCACCCACAGAAGAAGCACCGGCUAACUCCGUGCCAGCAGCCGCGGUAAUACGGAGGGUGCGAGCGUUAAUCGGAAUUACUGGGCGUAAAGCGCGCGUAGGCGGUCUGAUAAGCCGGUUGUGAAAGCCCCGGGCUCAACCUGGGAACGGCAUCCGGAACUGUCAGGCUAGAGUGCAGGAGAGGAAGGUAGAAUUCCCGGUGUAGCGGUGAAAUGCGUAGAGAUCGGGAGGAAUACCAGUGGCGAAGGCGGUCUUCUGGACUGACACUGACGCUGAGGUGCGAAAGCGUGGGUAGCAAACAGGAUUAGAUACCCUUGUAGUC
Molecule: ribosomal RNA, 465 nt
Filed under: Vreelandella stevensii
Lineage: Bacteria; Pseudomonadati; Pseudomonadota; Gammaproteobacteria; Oceanospirillales; Halomonadaceae
Description: partial 16S ribosomal RNA
Rfam family: Bacterial small subunit ribosomal RNA
Source: RNAcentral